UACGUAGGGUGCGAGCGUUGUCCGGAAUUAUUGGGCGUAAAGGGCUCGUAGGCGGUUUGUCGCGUCGGGAGUGAAAACCCAGGGCUUAACCCUGGGCUGGCUUCCGAUACGGGCAGACUAGAGGUAUGCAGGGGAGAACGGAAUUCCUGGUGUAGCGGUGAAAUGCGCAGAUAUCGGGAGGAACACCAGUGGCGAAGGCGGUUGCCUGGAGCUUGCUGACGCUGAUGCGCGAAAGCGUGGGGAGCGAUCCGG
Molecule: ribosomal RNA, 252 nt
Filed under: uncultured bacterium
Lineage: Bacteria
Description: partial 16S ribosomal RNA
Rfam family: Bacterial small subunit ribosomal RNA
Source: RNAcentral